Molecule: transfer RNA, 72 nt
Organism: Camelus ferus (Wild Bactrian camel)
Lineage: Eukaryota; Metazoa; Chordata; Mammalia; Artiodactyla; Camelidae
Rfam family: tRNA
About the family: Transfer RNA (tRNA) molecules are approximately 80 nucleotides in length. Their secondary structure includes four short double-helical elements and three loops (D, anti-codon, and T loops). Further hydrogen bonds mediate the characteristic L-shaped molecular structure. tRNAs have two regions of fundamental functional importance: the anti-codon, which is responsible for specific mRNA codon recognition, and the 3' end, to which the tRNAs corresponding amino acid is attached (by aminoacyl-tRNA synthetases). tRNAs cope with the degeneracy of the genetic code in two manners: having more than one tRNA (with a specific anti-codon) for a particular amino acid; and 'wobble' base-pairing, i.e. permitting non-standard base-pairing at the 3rd anti-codon position.
Source: Rfam
GUGGGUAGAGCUCAGUGGUAGAGUGCAUGCUUAGCAUGCACAGGGUCCUGGGUUCAAUUCCCAGUACCUUCA